RNAcentral lists this ribosomal RNA (253 nucleotides) under uncultured bacterium. Its description in RNAcentral is "partial 16S ribosomal RNA". It matches the Rfam family "Bacterial small subunit ribosomal RNA", at positions 524 to 776 of the family's 1533-position model. The record is from RNAcentral.
UACAGAGGGUGCGAGCGUUAAUCGGAUUUACUGGGCGUAAAGGGCGCGUAGGCGGUUAAAUGAGUGUGAUGUGAAAGCCCCGGGCUCAACCUGGGAAGUGCAUCGCAAACGAUUUAACUGGAGUAGGUGAGAGGGUGGCGGAAUUUCCGGUGUAGCGGUGAAAUGCGUAGAGAUCGGAAGGAACGUCAAUGGCGAAGGCAGCCACCUGGCACCAUACUGACGCUGAGGCGCGAAAGCGUGGGGAGCGAACAGG